Unclassified non-coding RNA from Callithrix jacchus (white-tufted-ear marmoset), 302 nucleotides. It matches the Rfam family "Metazoan signal recognition particle RNA". Rfam says of the family: The signal recognition particle (SRP) is a universally conserved ribonucleoprotein. The record is from Ensembl. NCBI's taxonomy places the organism in Eukaryota, Metazoa, Chordata, Mammalia, Primates, Cebidae.
GCCGGGUGUGGUGGCGCCUGCCUGUAUAGUCCCAGCUAUUCGGGAGGCUGAGGUGGGAGAACCACUUGAGCCCAGGAGUUCUAGGCUGUAGUGCACUAUGCCGAUAGGGUGUCCGUACUAAGUUCGGCAUCAAUAUGGUGACCUCCCGGGAGCAGAGGACCACCAGAUUGCCUAAAGAGGCGUGAGCCAGCCCAGGUGGGAAACGGAGCAGGUCAAAACUCCCGUGCUGAUCAGCAGUGGGAUCAUGCCUGUGAAUAGCCACUGCACUCCAGCCUGGGCAACAUAGCAAGACCCUGUCUCUA